GUAGUCUGCAACUCGACUACAUGAAGCUGGAAUCGCUAGUAAUCGCGAAUCAGAAUGUCGCGGUGAAUACGUUCCCGGGUCUUGUACACACCGCCCGUCACACCAUGGGAGUCGGAUAUGCCCGAAGUCAGUGACCCAACCAUAUGGAGGGAGCUGCCGAAGGUGGAGCCGAUAACUGGGGUGAAGUCGUAACAAGGUAAC
Molecule: ribosomal RNA, 201 nt
Filed under: uncultured bacterium
Lineage: Bacteria
Description: partial 16S ribosomal RNA
Rfam family: Bacterial small subunit ribosomal RNA
Source: RNAcentral